Molecule: long non-coding RNA, 658 nt
Filed under: Sus scrofa (pig)
Lineage: Eukaryota; Metazoa; Chordata; Mammalia; Artiodactyla; Suidae
Description: lncRNA (ENSSSCG00065008724.1)
Source: RNAcentral
AUGUUUUUUCAUGUACCUCCUUCCUGGCUGACAUCAAAGCAAAGGAGAAGCACAUUUACUCCUCUCCAUUUUCUACUUGGGGAGAUAAAGACCUUGAAAAGAACACAGAUACAAGAGGAAGAACAACUGAACUUCCUCUCUGAGCUUUACUCCCAAACUCUAGCAAAUCAACGGGAAAUGAGAUCAGAGACAGUGGUGGGGCCAAGUCUGCUGCAAGCAGCUGAAGCUGGUCGACCCUUUCUGAGGGCGCUCCCACCAGCCUCUACACAGGUACCAAACACUGACAUUAGAAUUAGGACAAGGCCGGGCUGGGGGUGGGGGGUCAGGUGGGGGUAGGGAAUGGGCUCAGGGGGGAGGGGAGGUUCCUGUUGCAGCUCAGCAGUAAUGAACCUAACUAGUAUCCAUGAGGAUUUGGGCUCAAUCCCUGGCCCCUCUCAGUGGGUUAAGUAUCUGGUAUUGCUGUGAUGCGGCUUGGAUCCCAAGUUGCUGUGUCUGUGAUGUGCUGUGCCUGGGAACUUCCAUAUGCUGCAGGUACCGCCCUUAAAAAAACAAAAAAAAGUUAGGAUGGGGGUGUGGCUUGUAGCCGUCUUGGGAACUCAAAACUGACAUCAUUUUGUGCAGCAAUAAAAUCCUGAGGUCGGGCCUGGGGAGAAGCCCA